Molecule: ribosomal RNA, 301 nt
Filed under: uncultured bacterium
Lineage: Bacteria
Description: partial 16S ribosomal RNA
Rfam family: Bacterial small subunit ribosomal RNA
Source: RNAcentral
CAGCCGCCACGGGAAUACGUAGGGUGCAAGCGUUAAUCGGAAUUACUGGGCGUAAAGCGUGCGCAGGCGGUUUGUUAAGACAGAUGUGAAAUCCCCGGGCUCAACCUGGGAACUGCAUUUGUGACUGGCAAGCUAGAGUCUGGCAGAGGGGGGUGGAAUUCCGCGUGUAGCAGUGAAAUGCGUAGAUAUGCGGAGGAACACCGAUGGCGAAGGCAGCCCCCUGGGCCAACACUGACGCUCAUGCACGAAAGCGUGGGGAGCAAACAGGAUUAGAUACCCGCGUAGUCCCUGUCUCUUAUAC